CGAGGGGCAGCAUGGUCUUAGCUUGCUAAGGCCGAUGGCGACCGGCGCACGGGUGAGUAACACGUAUCCAACCUGCCGUCUACUCUUGGACAGCCUUCUGAAAGGAAGAUUAAUACAAGAUGGCAUCAUGAGUCCGCAUGUUCACAUGAUUAAAGGUAUUCCGGUAGACGAUGGGGAUGCGUUCCAUUAGAUAGUAGGCGGGGUAACGGCCCACCUAGUCUUCGAUGGAUAGGGGUUCUGAGAGGAAGGUCCCCCACAUUGGAACUGAGACACGGUCCAAACUCCUACGGGAGGCAGCAGUGAGGAAUAUUGGUCAAUGGGCGAGAGCCUGAACCAGCCAAGUAGCGUGAAGGAUGACUGCCCUAUGGGUUGUAAACUUCUUUUAUAAAGGAAUAAAGUCGGGUAUGGAUACCCGUUUGCAUGUACUUUAUGAAUAAGGAUCGGCUAACUCCGUGCCAGCAGCCGCGGUAAUACGGAGGAUCCGAGCGUUAUCCGGAUUUAUUGGGUUUAAAGGGAGCGUAGAUGGAUGUUUAAGUCAGUUGUGAAAGUUUGCGGCUCAACCGUAAAAUUGCAGUUGAUACUGGAUAUCUUGAGUGCAGUUGAGGCAGGCGGAAUUCGUGGUGUAGCGGUGAAAUGCUUAGAUAUCACGAAGAACUCCGAUUGCGAAGGCAGCCUGCUAAGCUGCAACUG
This 690-nucleotide ribosomal RNA is filed under the name uncultured bacterium. RNAcentral describes it as "bacterial SSU rRNA". It matches the Rfam family "Bacterial small subunit ribosomal RNA", at positions 63 to 742 of the family's 1533-position model. The record is from RNAcentral.